AAGUGUGGUUCUUGUAAACUUUGUAUUUUUUCUUUGAUUCAAGGUGCACAUUACAAAACUUUCAACCUUGAAAACUUCUGUCAUUGAUUAUAAUGUCCGAGCUGAAAUUUUGUCAAUGGGAAUGGGCAUUGAUAACUCAGAACAUGUAGAACAACUGAAAAAAUUAUACAAAGGAGCUAAAAUGCCAUCUUUUGAAGAAAGCCUGAACCAGACCCUGAUACCUUCUUCCAGAGAAGACAGUGCUUGUCUGCCAAGCACACAGCAAGAGGACAAGGGCUCAGAGAGAGGAACUGACUCCAAGACAAACUCAGAAAACCAAAAGCAUGAAACUUUACCUAAAAACAAUGGAGGUGCUUCCAUUAACAAAACUACAGAGCCGCCGAAAAGCUUCCACCCACAAAUAAAAUGGUUCCAAAAAGAGGAUGUGGUCAUACUGAAGAUAAAAAUAAGGAAUGUGAAAGAUUAUAAAUGUAAAUACUUUAGAGAUAGAGUUGUCUUCAGUGCCUGGGUAGGAGAGAAAUUUUACUUGGCUGAUUUGGAGCUGCAAGCCAACAUAAUAAAAGAUGAUUGCAAAUGCAUAAUUAAAUAUGACGAACCUGUAAUCACUCUUGCAAAAGAGCAAAGGGAGUCUUGGUGUGGCUUACUCAAACAGAGGAAUCCCAAUGUGGCUUUUGAUUUUGAUCACUGGGAAGACUGUGAUGAGGAUAAGGAGGAUAGCCACUUUGCCAAAGUUGUAAAUUCUAAAAACCUGUCCUGCAGCGUGGCAGGCUUGGUUGAGACCAGUGACAAAAGUUCGGAUGAAGAUGAAAGUGAGAGUGAAUGA
RNAcentral lists this long non-coding RNA (823 nucleotides) under Capra hircus (goat). RNAcentral's name for it is "lncRNA (ENSCHIG00000004107.1)". The record is from RNAcentral. Lineage: Eukaryota; Metazoa; Chordata; Mammalia; Artiodactyla; Bovidae.